UGAACAAAAGCUGUGAUGCACUUUCCAG
RNAcentral lists this non-coding RNA (28 nucleotides) under Mus musculus (house mouse). The record is from RNAcentral. Lineage: Eukaryota; Metazoa; Chordata; Mammalia; Rodentia; Muridae.